AGAUCUCUGCAUAGUGGACAGUGCCUGUGACCCAUGUCCCCUGCUUGCAUUGUGAUGAACAGAGGCGCUCCUACACCAUCACCACCCACAUGAGACACACUUACUCAGGCUUCUGACUUCGUGCCUUAGGGUACAAAAGCCCAGACCAGAAUGAGAACUGAUCUCCCCUAUUAGCUGUUCAACUUGGGGGCAAGCCAUUUACCCUCGGAAAACUUCAGUGUCUUCUGAGUGUAAACUGAGAUCGUUAUAGCUUCCUCACAAGUGUGAGUAAAUGGAUGGUAGAUGGUUUGGUCACUGUUUAUAGGUGUCCUGGCAGUAGGAAGCGUGGCAGGUGUGAGAGGCAUUCACUCGUACCAGGAAUACUCUCCCCACCUUUUAAGACCCUCUCUGUUCUUCAUGCCUGUGGAUGGCAUCGUCUCCAUAUUGUUUUCACCAUCUCCUGCAACCGUCUAAUUCCCUUUGAAUGCCUGUCACACCUACUUUCUGCCAUUUCUUGGCCUCUUGUUGCCAGUUCUUCUGAGCCACUCUUCCGUUUUCCCGGUUUGACUAUAGGCCCUUUCAGUCUAGGGCCUUUCGAGACUAAAAUCACCCUUUCUAGUGAGUGUUUCAGUAAUGGCUCACGGGAGCCGUGAAUAUCAUUGCAUGUCAACACCCGUGUUUGGGCAGGUGGACAUGCUCAGGUUGGCAAGUGUUCAUGUCCUGGUAUCUGAGGCAGUGUACUAGUGUGCUGAGGACAGCUCAGAAAUGGCCAAGAUAAAAUGGAAGAGGGAGAAAUGCUACAGCGUCAAAUAGAACUCUUAGGGACUAUACUCAGAAAAGGCCAGCUUUGAGCUGUGUGUUCCCUCUGGGACCAGGUGAUUACAGUUUAGGAUGGACUGGGGAAUUUCCAUGCUGCUGGAAACACCAUAUGAGAACCUUCCUAGUAUUUGGGUUCAACAGCAAAUGCUGAGACAGAAAAAAUAUUUCCAUCCAUCUGCACUAAUCUCUUAUUUCCCUAGCAGUUAGAAAGAGAGAGAGGGGACGAAAAAAUAAAUUAAAGGCUGCAUCAGAAAAAAAGCUCAAGAGCCAGGCUUACGCUCAGCCCGCUGCCAGGUCAUUUUCUAGUCGGUACAGGAAAUGCCAAACUUCUGCGGCUAUUGGGUGGAGGUGCUGGGAAUAUAAUCAUUUGAACUGUGAUAAUUGAAGGCAUUAAAGAAGAAAGCCCAACUGAAAAACUUCCAGAAAGGCAAAGGCACUCAGAAUUCAAAUCAGGCCGCUCGCAUCCUCCAGUUUCUAGGAAGAAAGCUGCACUUUGUCAGGACCAGGUCUCCUUUCCGUGUCCCGGGACGAUCCACCCACCUGCAGCCGGUGCUCCGUGCCAAGCAAAACCCAAACCCCGGCACCUUGCUACUUACUUAUGUGCAGACCGUCCAUGACCAGGUAUGUUUGUAUGGCAGCUAUGGGAAGGUUGAAAAGGGUCCAGUACCUUCGUAAGGCCUCAGAGAACUCAUCUGUGAACAGGUUUCUGUUCGGCGGCUUGUGCCGUGCACGUAGUACUAUGCCGGACAUUGUAGUAAUUUUUGAUCCCUGACUUGAGGAGGCUCACCGUUGGAUCAGAGGCCAUACACAAACUGGAAUUAAAAUAAAAACUUAAAAAAAAAAAAAUGAGCCUAAGAUUGUAUGCUAACUUACUGGAAGAAAAACUUAAAAAAAAUUAAUGGAAGCCAUAGACACCAACAUCAGCAUGACACAGCCCAGGGCAUAGAAGGUGAGUGAGAGAGGGUAGCAAAGAGGGAAAAGGUGGUGGGGGGGUGGGGGGACUAAGAACGUGGAAAAAGUGUUCUCUGAAGGAUGUGACAUUGGCACUUGACCUUGAUGUGGUCACAUGUUAGAGAGGAUGACACGGUAAAUAAAGCUUAUAGAAACUGGUAGUUAUGAGAGAAGACUGAAGAGAGAUGGCAUGUUCUUAAAUCCCAGCUCUGCUUCCUAUCCCUGUGACCUUGAGUAAGUUACUUAGCCUCUUUCUUCCUCAGUCUCCCUACUUGUAAAAUGAUAAUAAUAGUGCCUGUCUCAUAAGGUUGUCUUGAAGAUUCCCCAAAAUACCACCUAGAAAGCACGUAGCUAAAAUGUGGUGAUGGUGGCUGGUGAUACAAAGCUCAUGGGAAAGCCAAGAACAGAACUGGUCAAAUGGGAGGGGCGUACUGUAACCUGGUGAAAAUGUCUUGCCAGGGGAAACUCGUGUGGCAUUGGUUCAUCUUUCCUGGUCAUUUGAACCUGUAGUUGCCAGCCCCCUUAUUAGAUCCGAUGGGCAGACAUCUAAUCGGCCAUCUCAAUGGGCCAAAGCAUCAGUUGGACAACUUUUGGAGCGGGUGUUUUAUUUUGAAUCAGAUGGGAAAUGUGUGACCUCAGUUAGUGAUAAAGUGCCAACUAGGAAACUCCAGCACCUCCUUCUUAUGAGGGUCGGCCAGCGUUGUGGCUGCUUUGGAAAGACGGAGGAGGAAACAACUGGUGUAUUUGCUUCUGGCGGCUGUCUUGGUCACAGGGAUUUCAUAAGACCAACAUGUUUGUCAAAUGCAUCAGCCAUACGCUGAUGCUUUUAUGAUAAAGUAAAAAAAAAAAAAACCACUUUCUUUAACUUGUCUCUA
Long non-coding RNA from Felis catus (domestic cat), 2624 nucleotides. RefSeq lists it as uncharacterized. Lineage: Eukaryota; Metazoa; Chordata; Mammalia; Carnivora; Felidae. The transcript is spliced from 2 exons. The record is from RefSeq and is a predicted model, not a curated record.